RNAcentral lists this unclassified non-coding RNA (330 nucleotides) under soil metagenome. Its description in RNAcentral is "partial contains 5.8S ribosomal RNA, internal transcribed spacer 2, and large subunit ribosomal RNA". The stretch from base 1 to 120 matches the Rfam family "5.8S ribosomal RNA", at positions 35 to 154 of the family's 154-position model. The record is from RNAcentral.
GAUGAAGAACGUAGCGAAAUGCGAUACGUAAUGUGAAUUGCAGAAUUCAGUGAAUCAUCGAAUCUUUGAACGCACAUUGCGCCCCUUGGUAUUCCGAGGGGCAUGCCUGUUCGAGCGUCAUUUCAACCCUCAAGCACAGCUUGGUCUUGGGCUUCGCCGCUAACCCGGCGGGUCUUAAAAUCAGUGGCGGUGCCGUCGGGCCCUGAGCGCAGUAAUUUCUCUCGCUAUAGGGUCCCGGCGGAUGCUGGCCAGUAACCCCCAAUUUUCUAUGGUUGACCUCGGAUCAGGUAGGGAUACCCGCUGAACUUAAGCAUAUCAAUAAGCGGAGGA